AUGUUUGCUUCUGUGUCCCUAUCUCGCGUCAACAACAUCCGAGCCUCUCUCACGAAUGCGCAGAAGGGAUCCCAGUCGGCUUCGGCCUACUUCGGGUACAUGAGGUCUCUCUCCGACGAGCUCGCGGCGGCAGGCAAACCGAUCGGGGAGGGAGAACUCAUCUCCUUCAUCGUCGCUGGACUCGACAUGGAGUACCAACCGAUUGUCUCCGCGCUGGAUGUGCGCACGGAGCGUACCACCGUCGACGCCCUCUUCUCUCUCGUGGCCAACUUCGACCAGAGGGUCGAGAUGUUCCAUGGAAACGGAGCCGGUGGUUUCAAAUCGUCUGCAAACUCCAUCUCCCGCGGCGGCGGGCGACAAGGAGGCAACAAGGGCGGCUACCGCGGCAACACAAACCAGAAGGGCAACGGUGGCGGCCCCCGUGGUGGCCCUGGCUAUGGCGGCGGUGGCCACCCUAACGGUGGUGGAUCUGGCGGCUCUGGCGGCUACGGUGGGGGAGGCUAUGGCUACCACCAGAACAACUACGGCGGCGGUGGCGGAUCCUAUCAUGGUGGUGGCGGCGGAGGCUACUAUCACCAGGGGAAUUCCAGCAACAACAACGGCCGGCGCCCCCCCUCCAACGGCAACAGGGGCCGAAACAUCCAAGACUACGAAGGCUACGAGGGUAAAUGUCAAAUCUGCAAAAAAACUAAUCAUAUUGCUAAGGACUGUGAUUGGCGUUAUGCCGAUGAUACGUCCCAAAAGAAAAAAAAUUGUUGCUGCAGCUGA
Molecule: ribosomal RNA, 768 nt
Filed under: Triticum aestivum (bread wheat)
Lineage: Eukaryota; Viridiplantae; Streptophyta; Magnoliopsida; Poales; Poaceae
Description: partial small subunit ribosomal RNA
Source: RNAcentral